RNAcentral lists this ribosomal RNA (477 nucleotides) under uncultured bacterium. RNAcentral describes it as "partial 16S ribosomal RNA". It matches the Rfam family "Bacterial small subunit ribosomal RNA", at positions 28 to 507 of the family's 1533-position model. The record is from RNAcentral.
GAUGAACGCUGGCGGCGUGCCUAAUACAUGCAAGUCGAGCGAACAGACGAGGAGCUUGCUCCUCUGACGUUAGCGGCGGACGGGUGAGUAACACGUGGAUAACCUACCUAUAAGACUGGGAUAACUUCGGGAAACCGGAGCUAAUACCGGAUAAUAUAUUGAACCGCAUGGUUCAAUAGUGAAAGACGGUUUUGCUGUCGCUUAUAGAUGGAUCCGCGCCGCAUUAGCUAGUUGGUGGGGUAACGGCUUACCAAGGCGACGAUGCGUAGCCGACCUGAGAGGGUGACCGGCCAAAGGGGGACUGAGAGACGGCCCAGACUGGUAUGGGAGGCAGCAGUGGGGAAUAUUGAACAAUGGGAGGAAGCAAGAUGCAGAAACGCCGCGUGCGGGAUGAAGGCCGUCGGGUGGUAAACAGAGUUCGACGGUGACGAAGCGGGAGUGACGGUAAUGGGUAAAGAAGCACAGGCUAACUACGUG